AAUUGUGGAAGCAGCUCCAAAUAUGGAGUGACAGGGAAGGGUUUUACCAACGAAAGGGAGGUAUCCUUCUGUGACUUCUGUCGUUCUUGGUGCGUUUGUUGUCAGUCUCCAAUGGCUGGUUUGGUUUUCUAAUUUCAAUGGAGGAGAUCAAUGACUACCUUCACAACCAAGCUUUUUCUUUUGUGAAAUGGUGCCUUCUUUUAGUGGAUUUCUUUUCCCUUUUUGUUUUUGUUUUCACUUUGAUUUGUGAUUUCUGGAAUGAUUCAGUGCUUGGUCGUUUGAUUUGGAGGAUGCUGAGAAUGGAUUAAUGGUGUGUUCUAUGGUGUUUAUGUUUGAAUUUUUGAGUUUUAUUGCUUUAGAGAAUGGCUUGGAAUUAGAAAAAUUCAUUGUGCUUUUUUGGGUGUUGGAGGUGGUGGAUUAGAUUCCUUCCACAUUGAUUUGAUUCUGUUUUGCAUUUCUCAUUGAUCUAGGUGGUCAAAGCUUAUUGAGAAUUCUGCUUUUCUUUGUGUGGAGACUUUUGUGAUCCUAAUCAGGGUAGCUGUUUAAUCCUUGCUUGUUUUGCUGAUGAUUGUUGCUGAUAAAAUGUAAUUGUUCAGAUGCACAUUUGAGCAAAAAAUGGUGAAUUGCUCUAUUGUCUUUAUGUAAGAAAAAUCGCAUCUUUUCACUCCAUCUUAUUGCUUUGGGGGAAUAAUAUGCAUAAGAAACGUACCAGUGAAGUGGAUCAAGUCAAGUGAUAAGUAAAACUACACGAUAACAAGUUAUACCGGCAUCUCUUGUAGCAUCAUCAUUCAUACCUAUGUAAAUAUAAUAUUAUGUUUGUGGUUAGAUGAUACCUAUAUUCUGUGGAGUCAACUGCACUUAGGAAUUGUUCACAUUCUAAGAAAUUUUUGAGCAUAUACUUGCAGUUGAAUUUGUAGCCAGCUAGUUGGUGAUCUUGCUGGUGGAGUCACAAGUUGUACCUCAUAACUGCUUUGAAAGGAUGAUAUAUCAUAUAGGAGAAUAUAACAGAGGAGCAUCAUUUGGCCCUUAAUGUUUUGGAUGGGAUGGACUGUUGCCUUCGCAAUCAGGUUGUUACUGGUUGAAGCUGGGCUGCAAGGAUUAACCAAAAACUUUUAUGAAGAGACUUACAGUGGGUGCCGCUGCAGUUACUCCCCUCAUGCAGAAGAAGUUUUCUGAUCCUGAAUAGUUGGCAUUGUGCUUGCUAUUCAAUGUUAGCAAUGCCAAUGUUUCUCCAGCUUCAACACUCACUUUAUUUUGAUCCUCUGUCAACCUUGGCUUGAAAAAGAUUGAAAGAAGCAGUCUAAUUACACCCCCGAGACCUCUUCACUGCUUUGAUCUGAGACUCUGUCACUCGGUCAUUUCUGAGGAAUCGCUCUCCGGUACUAGUGAAAUCUAUAAUCUUCG
This is a long non-coding RNA of Dioscorea cayenensis subsp. rotundata (Guinea yam), 1404 nucleotides long. RefSeq lists it as uncharacterized. The record is from RefSeq and is a predicted model, not a curated record. Lineage: Eukaryota; Viridiplantae; Streptophyta; Magnoliopsida; Dioscoreales; Dioscoreaceae. The transcript has 5 exons.